RNAcentral lists this ribosomal RNA (265 nucleotides) under Unio pictorum (painter's mussel). Its description in RNAcentral is "partial large subunit ribosomal RNA". The record is from RNAcentral. Lineage: Eukaryota; Metazoa; Mollusca; Bivalvia; Unionida; Unionidae.
GAUUUCCCUAGUAACGGCGAGUGAAAGGGAAAGCCCACUUUAAAUCUCGCCCCAGAGUGCCGGAACUGUGGUGUCUGGAGAGCCUCUUGUUCCCAUGUUUGGCUUCCGGGACCUCCUGAUGGGGGACCCUCCCCUAGCGGGAGGCCGGUCCAUAACUGCGAUCGGUUGCGUUGGGUUGGAUCUUCCUCGGAUUCGGGUUGUUUGGCAUUGCAAUCCAAAGGGAAACCCCUUCUCCAACUAAAUAUCGGUACUGCACCGAUUCCGA